Molecule: ribosomal RNA, 465 nt
Filed under: uncultured bacterium
Lineage: Bacteria
Description: partial 16S ribosomal RNA
Rfam family: Bacterial small subunit ribosomal RNA
Source: RNAcentral
CCUACGGGUGGCAGCAGUAGGGAAUCUUCCACAAUGGGCGAAAGUCUGAUGCAGCAACGCCGCGUGGGUGAAGACGGUCUUCGGAUCGUAAAACCCUGUUGUUAGAGAAGAAAGUGCGGGAGAGUAACUGUUCACGUUUCGAUGGUAUCUAACCAGAAGGCGACGGCUUACGACGUGCCAGCAGCCGCGGUAAUACGUAGGUGGCAAGCGUUAGCCGGAUUUAGUGGGCGUAAAGGGGACGCAGGGCGGCUGUUAAUUCUGAUGGGAAAGUCUUCGGUUUAACCGGGGUAGUGCAUUGGAAACUUGGUGACUUGAGUGCAGAAGAGGAGAGUGGAACUCCAUGUGUAGCGGUGAAAUGCGUAGAUAUAAGGAAGAACACCAGUGGCGAAGGCGGCUCUCUGGUCUGUAACUGACGCUGAGGUUCGAAAGCGUGGGUAGUAAACAGGAUUAGAUACCCGGGUAGUC